Molecule: long non-coding RNA, 951 nt
Organism: Rhagoletis zephyria (snowberry fruit fly)
Lineage: Eukaryota; Metazoa; Arthropoda; Insecta; Diptera; Tephritidae
Source: RefSeq, a predicted model, not a curated record
AACAAAAAACAAAUUAAUUGAAAAUGGACGGAAAACGAUGAAAGUGGAGUCAGGUUGGGAGCUGAGGCUGGGAAGGUAGAGCGUAGGAGUUAAGAGGAUGCCGGAAAAAUACACACGUAUACAAGGAAAUGGCAGCAGAAUUAACAUCAAUUGGAAUUACUGUCUCUGUCCAAGAAGUAAAAUUCAAAAUGCAGAAUAUGAUUUCCAAAUACAAAAAAGUGAAAUGUGACCUUCCAGAGCUUCGCCGCCAGCAUGGCCGCUAUUUGAAAAGCUCCACAAAAUAAUUUGGCGGCUAUCGCUCAUCCAAUGUGGCGGUCGUUGUGGAGGAUAGCCUGAAUGUGGACUGCAAUAAAUAUAGAAAGAAUUAGUGGAUAAGGAUAAACAAACAAACUGAGAGCAUAUCCGCAAUGUCUGAAACUAGCCAGCAAUUGGCAGCAAAGAUUAUUGAAUUUUUAAAUAAAAAAUAAUUACAUAUCAUUUAGAUGGGGCGAUUUUGUAAGCGAUUCAAUAUAGCAUGAAAAGUUGAAAGCGAUUUUAUCUCUUUCUAGAAAAUUGAAACUCAAUAUACACAAGCGAUUUUAUUGAAUGCGAGGUUAAGUCGCAUAGAGAAUCGCCUCAUCUAAAUGCUGCUUUACUUUUCAACAAAGUGUUCACUUAAAGCGUUUCGAUAAGUGUCUCGCGGGUUCAAUCUCGUCUCAUUCUGUUGUACUAUUCUACUUGGCUCUUCAGUGCUAACGGUGUCAGAAAGCCAACUAUGGUUUGCUGCAAUUAAAAAAUUGUGGAGUACGCAGUAGGCUUUUAUGAUGGCAUUUGUUUUGUCGAUACGGUUAUCCAACCCCUUUCCGAUGCGUCGGAAUCUGCAUUUCAAAUGACCAAAUGCAUUUUUAACAACCCUUCGGCAAUGAGAAAGGCGGAAGUUGAAUUCGCGUUGAGCACCUGUACUUACCAAAC